This 66-nucleotide small nucleolar RNA is filed under the name Salvator merianae (Argentine black and white tegu). Its description in RNAcentral is "Small nucleolar RNA SNORD52 (ENSSMRG00000016185.1)". Lineage: Eukaryota; Metazoa; Chordata; Lepidosauria; Squamata; Teiidae. The record is from RNAcentral.
UGCACUGAUGAGUUUGCUCAGACUAGAGUCUCUGAUGGACAUUGAUGUCUGCUCAAGCCCUGAGCA